This 1048-nucleotide long non-coding RNA is filed under the name Amborella trichopoda. RNAcentral describes it as "long non-coding RNA (ATRI_LNC004806)". The record is from RNAcentral. Lineage: Eukaryota; Viridiplantae; Streptophyta; Magnoliopsida; Amborellales; Amborellaceae.
GACUUUUGAAUAACAAGUGUUAGUUAUCUUUAUGGAUUAAUGUUUUUCUCUUGAGCCUUCCAACCUAAGAAGACUUCCCUGCUUUGCCUUAAGAAGACAAGUUGCUUUUCAGCUUUUAAGCAAGAGAAAUCUAAAAACAACAAACAGGAAAAAUAUAUGCUAACUUACCUUCCCCUAAAGGGUAACAUGAUUGUCUAUCCUUGUCCCCCAUGCCAUUUGAGCUAUAUCCUCCAAAACAGACAAUGUUGCAAUAGGUAUACAAUAUGAGCUUCCUCCAAAAAACUAUAAAACAUUGUCCCACAUUUAUGUAUUCAUACAUACACACAUAAUAUUAGGUAUAAACAUAGAUACACACAAAUAAUAUUAGGUAUAAACAUAGAUACACAAAUAAUAUUAGAUAUAAACAUAGAUACACACAAAUAAUAUUAGGUAUAAACAUAGAUACACACAAAAAGUCAACAAAAGAAAUGAGAAGAGGGGAGGAACAUAUCACAUUGAAGCAUUCAUCAUCAGUAGCACUUACUAAGCACUCCAACUCUGCCUUGUCUGCAGUCACAUUUCUACAAUUUCCAUCUUCAUGGAUACACCUUGAGAGGUUUACUUGUUGCUUGUAAACUGACUGUUUUAGCAUGUGGUACACACCUGUUGAAAAUGAAUCAGGGCAAAAAUUGUGCCAAUUUUGGGGGGGAUUGUGAGAGACUAAGGAGUGUUAGUUAUUUUUAUGGAUUAAUGUUUAAAUGAGAGACAGAGUAGUUAGAGGAGGGAGGGAGAUGUGUGAGAGACUCUGUUAGGAAGGAUACAUCCUCUCCUGAAAUCUCUCCUACAUCCCUCUUCUUCUCAUUAUUCCACCACGUCCUAAAAUCUCAACCCAUCCCCUCUCUCUCUCAUCUCCCCUUUAUCCACUCUUCAUUUAACUUUCCUAUAUGCCUCUAUGAAGCUCCCCUUUAAUUUUUGCUAUAUGCACAUACACCCGCCAUAAUCAGUAUAUAGGGUGAGAUAAUCAAUUAAUCAUCUAUAUGAUCAAGAAACUCACCAAGUAAAUGGGCCG